Molecule: long non-coding RNA, 994 nt
Organism: Musa acuminata AAA Group (dessert banana)
Lineage: Eukaryota; Viridiplantae; Streptophyta; Magnoliopsida; Zingiberales; Musaceae
Exons: 2
Source: RefSeq, a predicted model, not a curated record
AUAUUGGCUUUGGUCCAACGGCCUACAACCAAUGACCGGGUCCCGCCUGGGGAUUAAACAAGGCUUUCCAUGGUUCGGUUCAUCUUGUGGCCAAGGACGAGGGCAUUAUGGUCAGUUGACGCAGAUCGAUAAAGAAACAGGGGACAAAAGCACCGUCGCGUUCCCAAGUCUCACGUUGUCCACCCAGCCUUCAGCCGCCGUCGCCGGCGCUAACCCACUCGCUUCAGUGCCACCCCCGCGGCUCCACGGUCAAGUCCUGCCUCUUACCGCGGGCCAGUCGCUGCCCUCUUUGCCUACGAGUCGUCGAUCAGGUGUAAAAAAUGGCAUGCGGUGGAGCUGUUGUCCAAGUGCCCAACCUUGGCUUUGGUUCACAAAAAAAGUUCUACCUUCAGAGAUACAAAAUGACACAGAAGUAUUCACCCAGAUACCGAAGUAUUCGAGCAGUACAGGAAAAUGAGGGCCCACGAAGACUAAUUGACAUCAUUCGCCUCAUCCCAGAUGCCUCAAGGAAUUACUUCAGAAGCAGUCCUCGCAGAGCACUUUUUGGUGGUAUCUCAUUGUUGGGUGGCUUUUAUGUUGCACAAACAAUUUCUCUGUCAUUUGGUGCUUUGGGUGUGAAUGAUGUAAUUGCUGCAGUGGUAUGUGUUCUUCUUACUGAGUAUGUGACCAGAUUUUACUACAGUCGGCCCAAAGUAACCUUUCCUAUUGCGCUACUAAACAAUUUCAAGAUGGGAUUCACAUAUGGGCUUUUCAUUGAUGCUUUCAAGCUUGCUAGUUAAGAUGGAAUUCCCAAAUAGAAGCCGAAUUCUCAUUCAUUAUGUAAGCCUUGCUUAAUGUUAAAAGGUUUCGAUUCAGUAUGGAGCUCGGAAGUGCAGAAGGAUGUAGGCAGCUCGUGUUGCUUCUAUUUCAUGGCUAUUGUAUAUGCAAUGGGCAUUCUCAUAUAUUUAUACAUAUCUGGUUGCUUGUCUUGGAAAUUAUUUUGUGCAUCAGUUCA